Oncorhynchus keta (chum salmon) is the source of this 391-nucleotide long non-coding RNA. RefSeq lists it as uncharacterized. The record is from RefSeq and is a predicted model, not a curated record. The transcript is spliced from 3 exons. Lineage: Eukaryota; Metazoa; Chordata; Actinopteri; Salmoniformes; Salmonidae.
CUCAAACCCCACUGUGGCCUUGUCAGUCUCCACCUAACACACACCACACAGUUAGCCAGGUGUCAGUCUCCACCUAACACACACCACACAGUUAGCCAGGUGUCAGUCUCCACCUAACACACACCACACAGUUAGCCAGGUGUCAGUCUCCACCUAACACACACCACACAGUUAGCCAGGUAACAGUCCUCCAACAGCUCAAACCCCACUGUGGCCUUGUCAGUCUCCACCUAACACACACCACACAGUUAGCCAGGUGUCAGUCUCCACCUAACACACACCACACAGUUAGCCAGGUAACAGUCUCCACCUAACACACACCACACAGUUAGCCAGGUGUCAGUCUCCACCUAACACACACCACACAGUUAGCCAGGUGUCAGUCUCCACC